GCGCCGAUAUUGGAUCUCUUACAACCCUCCGAAGGCAGGGGUUGCUGGUUCGAUCCCAGCCGGGCGCGCCA
RNAcentral lists this transfer RNA (71 nucleotides) under Paraburkholderia bannensis. RNAcentral describes it as "tRNA-Ser". RNAcentral also lists the same sequence under 1 other name. Lineage: Bacteria; Pseudomonadati; Pseudomonadota; Betaproteobacteria; Burkholderiales; Burkholderiaceae. The record is from RNAcentral.